This 2369-nucleotide long non-coding RNA is filed under the name Sus scrofa (pig). Its description in RNAcentral is "lncRNA (ENSSSCG00015038332.1)". The record is from RNAcentral. Lineage: Eukaryota; Metazoa; Chordata; Mammalia; Artiodactyla; Suidae.
GAGUGCAUGCAGGUGUCACACAGAAAGUUUAACUGCUCAAACACAGGGUCAGUUUUCCAUGCCAAGUUCAACCUUCGAGAAAAGAAAAGAGAAAGGGAAAUGUCUCCCAUGGCGUAUGCCAAUUUGGCACCGUUUGGUAACUUAAAAUUGAAUCAUUUGGUAAUUUGGUUAGACGAAUGGCUUUUACUAUCUUCCAAUGAUUGUCAGCUAAGUUGUUAGCCAAAGGAGUAAAUUAAAAUCCACAAACGUACAUACACAACUCACAUAAUUUGCAGUUAAGAAAUGAGAGGAGGUUUUGGUAAGGUGCUCAUAUGGAGAUGGAUUUCACUCUUAACACCCCCAACCUGUAUUACCUGCGAGUGUGAUGUUAGCCAGGCAUGUCUGUCAGGAUAAAUAAUUUGGAGAGUUUUGUUUUAAAGAACUCUUUUGGAGAAAGGGAGGUGCUGGUUGCUGUUUAGCACAUUAAAAUAUAGUUUAACACAUUUUUUUAAAAAAGCUCUUUUUAAUGAUAUGUGUAACUCUGCAAAGUUUUUGAUCUAUAAAAAGUCAAACAGCAGACUUUCUUAAUCUAGAAUUCAAGGAGAUCCAUAGCUAAUGAAAGGGAGGCCCUAUUGCUGUGGAAUUAUACUCAGCAUUUUGUGUAUAUGGGCAUUUUCCCCCUGAGUUGAGGAAAGCAGAUUUUCUAAAAGUAUUCUGAGAGAUUCCCAGAAAAAUGCUAAGAAGUGUUGCAUAGUGAAGGCUUUGUUUCCAAUUGGUGUUUGUUCUGACUCAAUUUUUGGACCCAGAUUGUAAGUUUUCAUGAAAUUUAUCAAGUGUGUGUUUUCUUGAUUUUCCUUAAAAGAAGGCAUUGAUUACAAUCAGCUUUUACUUAUGUAUGAAGUUGAAAGCUUUAGUAUUUACAAUUUAAAAGAGCUGCUAAGGCAUAGUUUUACCUGAGAGAUACUCUGGAUUAUUGACUGCCCGCUCCUCGGGUUUAUUGCAGUAGAAUUAAAAAAUAAAAACUGUACUAUGUGUAAGGAGUACAGUAUGAUGACUUGAUAUUAGCUUUGACGGGACUCCUAGCUGGAGAGAAGGAUAAAAGAGGUAGCCUCUAGGAGUUCCUAUUGUGGCUCAGCAGGUUAAGAACAUGACGAAAUCUCUGUGAGGAUGCGGGUUCGAUCCCUGGCCUCGCUCAGUGGGUUAAGAAUCUGGUGUUGUGGAGUUCCUGUUGUGGCACAGUGGUUAACGAAUCCGACUAGGAACCAUGAGGUUGUGGGUUCGAUCCCUGGCCUUGCUCAGUGGGUUAAGGAUCCAGCGUUGCCAUGAGCUGUGUUGUAGGUUGCAGACGCAGCUUGGAACCUGCAUUGCUGUGGCUGUGGUGUAGGCUGGCAGCUACAUGAGCUGACCCCUAGCCUGGGAACUUCCACAUGCCGCAGGUGUGGCUGUAAAAAGAAGAAAAGAAAAAAAAAAACAACAAAAAACAUGUGGCCUCUAUAGUGAGAACAGGUUAGCAUGGUGACAUUCUAAUAGGGGAAAAAAAAGCCAGGGAAAAUCAGGCCAAGGGCCUUGUUAAGUGUAGAUUGAAACCGUAUAGCUCAGACUGGGACUUGAGCCCACAGGCUAGUAUUUGAACUUAGCUCAGGUUGGGAUUUGAAUCUGUCUUUUAAUUAAAAUCACACACCUGGUCUCAGAACUCACUGAAGUUCAGGAUCUUUAUGUCUCAGCAUAGAAGGAAUUCAGUGAGAGGCGAAGUGAUGGGUAAGAAAUAGAUUUAUUGAGAGAGACAGAACGUGGGCCAUCUUGGAAGGGGAGAGUGGCCUGGAAGAUACACAUUCCAUAGACAGAAUGUAGUCUGUCUCAGAAGGCAAGAGAGCGGCCCUGGGGGAGACACACUCUGCAAACAAUGUGGCCAUCUCAGAAGGUGAGAGGCCCCCGAACAUGAGGUGAGUAAUUUCAUAGGCUAAGGAGUGCAAGGAUCAUUCCAACUAUUUCAGGAUUGGGUGGAGAUUUCUAGGAAUUGGGCCACUGCCCACUUUUUGCCCUUGGAACUGUCAUGGCACCUGUGGGUGUGUCACUGAGCAUGCUAAUGUAUUAUAAUGAGCGCAUAAUGAGGCUCAAGGUCUACUGGAGGUCAAAUCUUCCGCCAUCUUGGGCCUAGUUUGUUCUAACCAGUUCUUAUUACAUCCUCAAAGGCUGUGUCAUUCUUUUAAAAGUUGUGCCCUGCCCCCUUCCCUCCUGUGUCAGAUGGUUUCCCUGGUGCCUUCUGUGCAUGCAGGACAUUCAGCCACUCCUUACCCAUUUAUAUAUUCCUGCUGUGUUGUUAGUGCCAAAGGAAAAGACUUGCCCAAUUUUCCACCCACUAAAUAAUUCUUUCUUGCAAAAUUGAAUUA